UACGUAGGGUGCGAGCGUUAAUCGGAAUUACUGGGCGUAAAGCGUGCGCAGGCGGUUCGUUGUGUCUGAUGUGAAAGCCCCGGGCUCAACCUGGGAAUGGCAUUGGAAACUGGCGAGCUAGAGUGUGGCAGAGGGGGGUGGAAUUCCGCGUGUAGCAGUGAAAUGCGUAGAGAUGCGGAGGAACACCGAUGGCGAAGGCAGCCCCCUGGGCUGGCACUGACGCUCAGGCACGAAAGCGUGGGGAGCAAACAGG
RNAcentral lists this ribosomal RNA (253 nucleotides) under uncultured bacterium. RNAcentral describes it as "partial 16S ribosomal RNA". It matches the Rfam family "Bacterial small subunit ribosomal RNA", at positions 524 to 776 of the family's 1533-position model. The record is from RNAcentral.